CAGUAGCCGCGGUAAAACGGAGGGUGCAAGCGUUAAUCGGAAUUACUGGGCGUAAAGCGUGCGUAGGCGGUUCGUUAAGUCUGUUGUGAAAGCCCCGGGCUCAACCUGGGAAUGGCAAUGGAUACUGGCGAGCUAGAGUGUGUCAGAGGAUGGCGGAAUUCCCGGUGUAGCGGUGAAAUGCGUAGAGAUCGGGAGGAACAUCAGUGGCGAAGGCGGCCAUCUGGGACAACACUGACGCUGAGGCACGAAAGCGUGGGGAGCAAACAGGAUUAGAUACCCCUGUAGUCCCUGUCUCUUAUAC
RNAcentral lists this ribosomal RNA (301 nucleotides) under uncultured bacterium. RNAcentral describes it as "partial 16S ribosomal RNA". It matches the Rfam family "Bacterial small subunit ribosomal RNA", at positions 509 to 807 of the family's 1533-position model. The record is from RNAcentral.